Molecule: long non-coding RNA, 382 nt
Organism: Acanthopagrus latus (yellowfin seabream)
Lineage: Eukaryota; Metazoa; Chordata; Actinopteri; Spariformes; Sparidae
Exons: 2
Source: RefSeq, a predicted model, not a curated record
CAUUUGCUGAGAGGUGUUGCCACGGGAACUGGUCACCAGACACUCCCAGAUGCCAGCGAUACCCACGUCGAUGUUGGAGAGGAUGACCUCACUGUAGGAGAACAGAGUGUCUAUGUUGGUGAAUUUCAGAUGGUCUGUAAAGCGAUUCCUAUCGCAAUGGAAAAUGCCUGAUUAAACAAAGGAUGGUGAAACAGUGACAAAGAGCCAACGCAGGCCAUUUGCCAAGACGGCUAAUCUUGAGGAUUUUACUCCUUAUGAAAAAAAAAAAGCCGAAAAGCCAGCAGAGAUUGCUAAGCAACCCGCAUUAUCACCAUGGAAAUGCUGCCUCCUUGAGAAAUGCCAACUGUUUAAUUUCCAAAUACAAUCUGGUUGUAGUCAAAUA